This 1803-nucleotide long non-coding RNA is filed under the name Canis lupus familiaris (dog). RNAcentral's name for it is "lncRNA (ENSCAFG00000053882.1)". The record is from RNAcentral. Lineage: Eukaryota; Metazoa; Chordata; Mammalia; Carnivora; Canidae.
AAACAGACUACUGCUACUUACAGCACCGUAUAGCAGCCCUGCUCCUACAUUUUGCUGCCUUACUCUGCCCCGAAUGCAUGGGACUGGGGAUGUUCCGUCAUUAACUAUAAACUGAUUCUCAUCAGGAUCACUUCAAAGGUCUCAUCAAGCAGAGGUGACGCCAGGAGAUGAUUUAAAGGUGAAAAUGACAAGGUUUCCACCCCUCAAACCUUGGCUCCUUUUCUGACAAUACAGGCUGAAUGAACCUGAUGUCUUCUUUACUGUGGAAAUAGCAUUGGAAGAGAAAAACAUAUUUUUUUUUAAAUCCUGAUAAAGAAGAUUAUUGGGAAGCUCUUAAAAAAAAAAUCUCCAGUUGUGCACAGAUGGAUUUUAGAAAGUGUUAGAGCUUUCCAAUGAACACUAAUAGAGUACUCUGCUCUUGGCUGGAUCUUUCAGGUAAGAAGCCUCUUUAAGGAUUUAAGAUUCAGAAAGCAGAUUUGUAACCUAUUCAGUCAUAUCUAGAGAACUGUGUAAGGCUGGAUGCAUUAUUUAGUGGAAAACACCUAUUAACAUAGAGACAACCUCUUGGUGAGAGAGUGAGCAAGGAGAGUGAUAUGCAGGAACCUUGCUUGGAAGUGAUACUGAGAAUUGAAGAAAGUUAAAUUAAAAAAAAGGGAAAAGAAGGAAAAUACUGCAAAUGUGAAGUCACAGCAAUCUUUUUAGGUGCUAAAAGCUAUGAAGGUGAAGAAAUGAGCAAGAGAAAGCAGAGUCAUUGAAAAACUGUUAAGUUUUGAUUGUGGUAGGCUUUUUUUUUUUUAAAGUUUAGAUGAAUUCCUAGUGCAUUUUAACUGAAAUUCGCAAGUAGUCCAUGCAUGCCACAGUCACCUCUAUUUUGUCUUUCUAUCAUUUGGAGGGUAUUUUGAAAAGGCCCCUAAACGCAUUCCUAAGAUUCGCAGAAGGGGUGUUGCUAUUUAUCUCUUUUGAAGAGAAUGCAUCUAUGUUAUACUGAUUGUUCUGAAGACAAUGAGGCUAAAUCUGUUGUGUACAAAAGUAAACAGCGGGCAGCGAAACUAAUUAUAAAGUGAAUGGUCCAUCUGAAACACAGAGUGAGGCAUGAAAGGCACCAUGCUGUUGCAAAUAAUGUUUUCCUACUUUGCACUUAAUUAUGGUUGUCACCAUUUGUCUAUUAUAGUCCUUAACCCCCUUUUAAAGACUGCAUCUCUCUCCUAAAGCCCAGAAAUUAUCUUGUAUUAUGUCUGUAUACACACAUACAUACAAUGUAUAUUCCUGCUUUCUGAACAUCACAGUUUUUGAAAGAGUGCCAAUUUCCAUGGAUAAAGAAACCACGCUGGGAGGUCACUAGCAGAUUUUGAAUGUAUAGUUGAAAUACUUAUAGUGUAUAAUUUAACAGUGGAAAAAUUCUUAAAAGGAACAAUCCGGUUUGCAAAGCUCUCUAAGAGAAAAAGAAUAUACUUAACUGGAUUCUCGUGUAGAAAAUGCUUCCAUAUCACUGGCUGAGUAAGGACGAUGCUUCAAGUUUGAUUAAUUUGGCAAUAUGAAAUGCAGCAUAAGGUGUUGUUUGAGAAAUUGGACAAUAUGCAGCGCAGUUGAGCCUCUGUAGCUCUAAGAUCUUUAUAGGUGCAGAUAAGACUGUCAAAGUUUCAGCGCCUGAGAAAAGGUAUAUGUUCAUCCAUAAAUACAUACACCACCUGUGUAUGCAUAUUCAUCAACACUAUACAACACAUGCCACAAUGGGAUCUUGGGAGGCAAAGUAAUAUUGUAAAUUAUGGCUCGCUCUAGGAUAGAAGCAUAGAUCUUGCAUUU